GCAUGACCAAUGCAAAUAACAACUUACUGACUUAAAUUGAAAUAAAGCAAGCUAUUGGGAUAAGGAUGCAAAAGUAGACACAAAAAGAAAAAUAUAAAAAGAAAAUAUAAGCUACUGGGGCCUCAAAAAGCAUAGAGGUGUGACAGAAGCGUGAACAUUCUGAAAUGCUUGAACAACCUGAUAUCCCAGCAAAAUUCUGGCUUCUCUGAACAAGAUUACAGAGAGGAACUGACUCAACAUCAUCAAAAGAAGAGGGGAUUUAGGUUCACAGGAACACUGAGGUGAAAGUGCAGAGAUUCCUUGGUGCCCACAGGCCUAGCCUCCCUCAUCGUCAACAUCCCACACCAGACUGGAACAUUCGUUACAACUGAUGAGUCUGCACUGACAUAUCAUUAUCACCCUCCGUCCGUAAUUCACAUUAGGUAAACACACCAGGUGUUGUAAGUUCAGUGGGUUUCGACAAAUGUAUAAUGAUAUGAAUUUACCUUAAAAUAUCAUAUAUUAAAUCCUCUGUGCUCUACCUAUUCAUCUCUC
Hyaena hyaena (striped hyena) is the source of this 534-nucleotide long non-coding RNA. RefSeq lists it as uncharacterized. The record is from RefSeq and is a predicted model, not a curated record. The transcript has 3 exons. NCBI's taxonomy places the organism in Eukaryota, Metazoa, Chordata, Mammalia, Carnivora, Hyaenidae.